AGUGGUCCAAGACCAACAGCUGUAGCACUAGCUUCCAUCAUCAUAUCCACUUCUCUCUGAAGUCUGAAGCAUUGUAAUAAUGUAUUUUACUUUAUUUUCCGAAAGCACAAAAAAAAAAAAUCUUGACUGAUAGGAAAUUUAAGCUAGAGCUAUAACACAUUGGACAUGAUAUAAAAGUUAACACUUAUUUUAUCAAAAUAUCAGAACUUGGGAAUAUAAUAACCACCAGGGACAUCAAUUCCACGAAAACAAUAGAUCUUGAUCAGUAUUUCUCAAAAAAAAAAUUCAUUCUUUUUGUAUUUAAUCAAGAAAAACAGAAUAUGGAUAUGUCAGGAAUUGUAUGCAUAUAAAAUCAAACACACACAAACAUUUUCCAUCCCAUCUACUUAGACUCGUAAAGUACUCAACUAUAGAACAUAAUAGACAAUUCAAUUGGAAUAUGGCAUCGGAAAAGAAUUUGUUUAUGUUCUCCACAAGUUUAAACCACUUAAUUUGCAUAUUGAUGUUGCUUCUGCUCAUGAAAAUUGAGGAACUCAAAUCUAACAUGAAAUACUACUGAAAUGAGGAAUAUAUGAGGUGUUGGACAAUCUACUAAUUUAGCAGAAGAAUAGUAAAUGUUGAUUCAUCUUCUAUUGUGCCCACAGUAGGAUUCCAAGAGGGAAAGAUGGCAUAGGGACUCAAUGAACAUUAAUACUAUAGAGAAAACAAAUAUAAUAUGAUAAUAUAUGAAUACUCCAUUAUUAAAAAGAAUGAGAUAUGGUAAACGAGUAGACAUAUAAACCAACGAAAACAACAAUCCAUAUACAUGUCUUCAGUUUCUUUGUCUAAAGAAUAGAUGUUUGUAAUUUACAAUAAUUUGAAUGUGGAGAAAUGCCAUUGAUGAAAACAUGUGCUAGCCUGUCUAUAUUUUUCUGUGUGACCAUAAUCCUUAUAUGUAACUAAAAGAAAAAUAAUCGAAUAUUAAACAUAAUCCUUCUAUACUGAGAAAGGAGCAUUCCAAUAGUGUAUCCAAUACAUGUCCAAGAGCAUCACUAGAACCUUAAAUUGUACUUUAAAAUUUUGAAUAGCACUAUCUUUGAAGUCAAAGGCAUUAUCAUUUUGGAAGCUACAAUACCCAGAAAUAAGAUAAAAAUUCUCAAAGUAGCAAUAAUUGUCUGAGAAUGUUCUUAAUUUAAGAAGAAACUAGAAGAUCCCGUUCUAGUUAAAUAAUUGAAUACUAAAUGGGCAAGAUUCCAUGUUCCCAAACUAGUCUUUGCUACCACAAUUCUAUAUUAGAUGACUAAAAAUUAUAAUUUUACUUACAUGGGUAAAUAUAAUUUACAACACCAAUUAGACAAAGGUUUUCUUUCCUAAUUCCUAAUUAGUCCUUCUAAAGUAAACUAUAUGACAAACAAUUUCAAAAUUCAGUAAUAUCAAUAGCAUCAAGAAGACCCACCGAUCUUUAACACUGUUUUUCCAUUUCUCCCCAAAUUGGAAAGAUUAAAGGAUUUACAAAUUAUGGAUAUUGAAGCAGAUUUGGUGUCUAACAAAAUUAAGUGGUUGAUCCAUCUUUCUUCUGUAUACUUCAAGACAUUCUUGUUCAAGCUCCAGCAGCAUUUUAUCUCUAUCAGUAUCUGACUCCCCAACCUCAUUCCAGAUGACCUGCAACUCAUAAAGAAGGGAUCCACAGGUGGUUUCCACUUGCAGAAGCGGAUCAUUCUGAAUACCAGACAUGUCAAUACAACUCGUGCCUGAACAGUAGAGGUUCAAUGUAAAUUUUCUCGAAAAAAUUGAGCUUGUUCCCAGGAAAAUGCGAGAAAUAAGGUCUGAAUUUGAUGUCCAAUUGUGUGUUUGUGAGAGAGAGAGAGAAACGCUUAAGGAAAAAUGGACCGUUAGAACAGUGGGUGUUGAAGAUUUUGCAAUUCUGCUUCUUUUUAACGAUGGUGGGUUUGGAUUCCUUUGGAACCACAGAUGAUUUGAAUUUCAA
Molecule: unclassified non-coding RNA, 1966 nt
Filed under: Hevea brasiliensis (rubber tree)
Lineage: Eukaryota; Viridiplantae; Streptophyta; Magnoliopsida; Malpighiales; Euphorbiaceae
Source: RNAcentral